GUCUAUGGCCAUACCACCCUGAAUGGACCCAAUCUCAGCUGGUCUCAGAAGCUAAGCAGGGUCGGGCGUGGUUAGUCCUGGGAGAAGCUCUUCAGAGAGGACUGCUCAAAGACA
RNAcentral lists this ribosomal RNA (114 nucleotides) under Castor canadensis (American beaver). The record is from RNAcentral. Lineage: Eukaryota; Metazoa; Chordata; Mammalia; Rodentia; Castoridae.